AAUCCGUGUUGUGAGCAUUGGCGAAGUAAACCCUUGUAUCAUUCUCAAGCCUCCGAAUAGCAUUCCGAGUCCACUUGCUGAAAAGUAGUGAUCUCAUCCCUUAGCUU
This 107-nucleotide small nucleolar RNA is filed under the name Olea europaea subsp. europaea. RNAcentral describes it as "Plant small nucleolar RNA R71". It matches the Rfam family "Plant small nucleolar RNA R71". From Rfam's summary of the family: R71 is a member of the C/D box family of snoRNAs containing the C (UGAUGA) and D (CUGA) box motifs. The record is from Rfam by way of RNAcentral. Lineage: Eukaryota; Viridiplantae; Streptophyta; Magnoliopsida; Lamiales; Oleaceae.